RNAcentral lists this ribosomal RNA (403 nucleotides) under uncultured bacterium. RNAcentral's name for it is "bacterial SSU rRNA". It matches the Rfam family "Bacterial small subunit ribosomal RNA", at positions 355 to 775 of the family's 1533-position model. The record is from RNAcentral.
UAGGGAAUAUUAGUAAUGGGCGAAAGCCUGAACUAGCAACGCCGCGUGUGCGAAGAAGGCCUUCGGGUUGUAAAGCACUUUUAGAGAGGAUGAGGAAGGACGGUACUCUCAGAAUAAGUCUCGGCUAACUACGUGCCAGCAGCCGCGGUAACACGUAGGAGGCGAACGUUAUCCGGAUUUACUGGGCGUAAAGCGCGUGUAGGUGGUUUGGUAAGUAGGGCGUGAAAGCUCCCGGCUCAACUGGGAGAGGCCGUUCUAAACUGCCAAGCUAGAGGGUGGUAGAGGGAGGUGGAAUUGCGGGUGUAGCGGUGGAAUGCGGAGAUAUCCGGAGGAACACCAGUGGCGAAGGCGGCCUCCUGGGCCACUCCUGACACUCAGACGCGAAAGCUAGGGUAGCAAACGG